CAAUAGCGUAUAUUAAAGUUGUUGCAGUUAAAAAGCUCGUAGUUGGAUUUCUGUUUUGGAUGUCCGGUCCGCUCCCUCUGGGAGUGCGUACUUAUGGAUGUUCGAGGCAUUUUUUGUGAGGUCGCUUUUCUGCCAUUAAGUUGGUGGUUUUGCGGGCUUGCAUCGUUUACUGUGAAAAAAUUAGAGUGUUUAAAGCAGGCGUUUGCUCAUUUGAAUACAUUAGCAUGGAAUAAUAAGAUACGGCCUUGGUGGUCUAUUUUGUUGGUUUGCACACCAGGGUAAUGAUUAAUAGGGACAGUUGGGGGUAUUCAUAUUUCAGCGUCAGAGGUGAAAUUCUUGGAUCGCUGAAUGAUGAGCUUAGGCGAAAGCAUUUACCAAGGAUGUUUUCAUUAA
RNAcentral lists this ribosomal RNA (393 nucleotides) under uncultured eukaryote. RNAcentral's name for it is "partial 18S ribosomal RNA". It matches the Rfam family "Eukaryotic small subunit ribosomal RNA", at positions 592 to 976 of the family's 1831-position model. The record is from RNAcentral.